RNAcentral lists this ribosomal RNA (660 nucleotides) under Salmonella enterica subsp. enterica serovar Heidelberg. RNAcentral's name for it is "partial 23S ribosomal RNA". It matches the Rfam family "Bacterial large subunit ribosomal RNA", at positions 582 to 1242 of the family's 2925-position model. Lineage: Bacteria; Pseudomonadati; Pseudomonadota; Gammaproteobacteria; Enterobacterales; Enterobacteriaceae. The record is from RNAcentral.
CCCUUUGGGGUGUGACUGCGUACCUUUUGUAUAAUGGGUCAGCGACUUAUAUUCUGUAGCAAGGUUAACCGUAUAGGGGAGCCGUAGGGAAACCGAGUCUUAACCGGGCGUUAAGUUGCAGGGUAUAGACCCGAAACCCGGUGAUCUAGCCAUGGGCAGGUUGAAGGUUGGGUAACACUAACUGGAGGACCGAACCGACUAAUGUUGAAAAAUUAGCGGAUGACCUGUGGCUGGGGGUGAAAGGCCAAUCAAACCGGGAGAUAGCUGGUUCUCCCCGAAAGCUAUUUAGGUAGCGCCUCGUGAAUUCAUCUCCGGGGGUAGAGCACUGUUUCGGCUAGGGGGCCAUCCCGGCUUACCAACCCGAUGCAAACUGCGAAUACCGGAGAAUGUUAUCACGGGAGACACACGGCGGGUGCUAACGUCCGUCGUGAAGAGGGAAACAACCCAGACCGCCAGCUAAGGUCCCAAAGUCAUGGUUAAGUGGGAAACGAUGUGGGAAGGCCCAGACAGCCAGGAUGUUGGCUUAGAAGCAGCCAUCAUUUAAAGAAAGCGUAAUAGCUCACUGGUCGAGUCGGCCUGCGCGGAAGAUGUAACGGGGCUAAACCAUGCACCGAAGCUGCGGCAGCGACGCUGAUGCGUUGUUGGGUAGGGGAGCGUUCU